UCUGCCAGCAGCACUGCGGUCGGAGGAUCUGCGGCUGGUCUCUGCCUGCUGUCCGCUACCACUUUGGCCUGCUGCUGCCACUCUGGCGCUGGGAAGUCUGUAACGCUGCUCUCUCUUCCCCGUCUUGGGAUAGCCGGUACCAAAAAUUCAUUCUACGAUACUCGAUUCAGCCACUAGACUGUGAGGUCCUUGAGGGAUGACAGUGUCUUCAUCUCCAAAACCCAGCCUGGCACAUUAGUAGGCCUCAGAAAUGUUCAUUGGAUGAAUAAAUACAUAACUCACCAACAAACAUUUAUUGUGUGCCCACUAAGGUAGUGAGCCUGGACUUCCAAGAGUUUGGGGUUCUCCUCUCUAGCCCUCCCUAACCUACUACACAUUGUCUUGGUAAACUGCCUGGCUCUUUUAUUCAGGAGUACAGAACAAAAGGUCAUAAUUGCCUGACAUACAUAGAAGGACCUCUAAGAAAUCAAGUUUACCUGCAUUCAAAUACAGGAAUAUUGAGAUCUAAAGAGGAAAGGACUUGCAGGCAGCUAAAAAGGUGCCAAUAAAUGCGAUCAAAACCCAUGCCACUGGUAAAGAAGUAUAUUGAGCCCUGCCUGCCCCAGUGAGAUUACUAGAGAAUUCGGAGAGACUCAAAUCAGCAUCUUGCAUGUGGUUGUCAAACCAUUCUGAAGUCUUGGCUAAAUUGUAAAGGAUAUCUUUGAAAAGCAUUUUCAGAGAAUUCACCAGAUCUUCCAUGUGAAUGAACAUGCAGUGGGAGAAGGGGUCCUCUCAGCGAUUGAGAUUUAGAAAAAAUUAAUCCUUCCAUUGAAAUCUUAAAAUGUGAUCUGGAUAAAGGAAUGGGUAUCUUAGUCAAGGAAGUGAUUGUUGAAUAUGGAGGAGUUGCAAUUUGCAAAUGCCUGCAGAGUCCAGAUGGUGUAUGUCAACAUAAGAAACAUUCAAACCUGUGGAGAAUUUUUGUGAAUUUAUUUGAGCCAAACUGACAACUGCUGAGAAGCAAAACUACAACGAAUUGAAAAAAUGCUCCGGAGAAUGGCAGUUUUACACCUUAUUUUAUACAUCGCAAUCAAAAGGGGAGGUGUAAGGGGGUUACAUGAAGUCCACUGGUGACAGAUUAGGGAGGGGGGAGAAAACAAAGUGGGGAAACCUCUGGGAUCAGAUAAAAAAUAAAAUGAUACACACAUAUUUCUUACACUACUGGGUACAACAUAGUUAACAGUCAACAGUUAACACGAUAAGAGUAACAACAAGGGGAUUUGUGAUCUCCCCAUGAUGCUGUGCCUGUGCUUUGAGGGCCUGGUAGAAGGAAGUUUGACAUUCCUAAGGUCUGUUAGCAUAGAUGCAAAAUCAACAGACAGGCUCAGUUAAGGUAAAGAUUAACUUUUAUUAGAAAAAAUACCCGCUUAGGACACGACUACCCACCAUGAACUGCUUUUAGUUAGAAAGCUUUCAUUUCAGACCAUGUUACAUGGCUACUGUAAGUCUCUGAGUUUGUAAGGCCACUACGCAGACCUCCCCUGAGCUAGUCAGGUUUAGUGUGGCCCCUUUUCUUCCACAGGUACAUGUGUAAAAUGGUUCUGAUAUUUAUUUCCUUCCUUUUUCUUGAAACGCUGCUUUGGGUUUCUUUUUUAUUGUUGGUUUUGUUUUGUUUUGUGUUGGGCUUUUCUUUUGUUUAUCUACUUUUGAUAGAGACACUGGAAAACAGAUUACUCUUAAAAUGAAAGUAAGAGUGCCAAUGUAAUGGUAAAGAGAAACUGACGCUUUUAAGAGAAAUACAGUAGGCAGUGUUUGGGAUUGUGGUCCACUGGAACAUGCACCUUUCAUCCAAAGGAGGCUUUUUACUUCUUGGCUCCUGCUGAUAGUUGCCCAGUGGAAAUACAGCCCAAUAUUCACAGUAUUUCCAUCUUUCUACAAGGAACCUGAUUAUGAGCUGUUAGCUUAAUUUUUUUUAGUGCCACAGGCCCACAAGGUGUGUUUUAUAAAUGCUUUUAUAAACUCAUAGCUUUUUCUUCUUUGUAAUUUUGGCAUAUUUAUAGUGUUACCUUUUUUCAAUGUGGUAUGAAACAUGGCUGUUUCAUACUCUACCUGGACAGUAUUUGAAACUAGGUCACAGUUUUGAAUGGAGUUGUAUAGAUAAGAAUAGAAUAGAUUAGGGAAAAAUAGAUUAAUAUAGAAUGUAAAUAAGAAAACACUAGCCUCUACCAGGCAAAGGGUAAGUACUUUGUGAAAGUUUUGUCCCAGCUACAUGUUUGUAUGUAUGUGUAUCUUCGGCCCAAUCUAAUUGUAUUUCUUACUGUGGAUUAAAUGAUUUUAUAAGACUUUGUGAAACACUGAGCAAACUGGCAUCCUGUGGAGUAAACCCCUUCUGUAGAUAGGUCUCCUUUGGCCCACACUGUCUCUUAGAAAUUUGAUGGUUGCCGGAGAUGGGGGAGAGGGGGGAAAUGGGAAGUGUUUUAAUGGGUAUAGAGUUUCAGUUUUGCAAGAUGAAAAACAUUUGGAGAAUGUUUACUAAACAAUGUGAAUAUAUUUAACACUGUUGCACUGUACAUUUAAAAUGACUAAAAUGGUAAAAAACAGUAAGAAUAGCUCAUUAAACAGCAAAUUCACACAAGUCAUCAGAAUAUCCUUGGACAUAUUAAACAUAAUAUCUUCAAAUUUAAAGGAAGUUGUAUGACCAUCUUUGAUGCAAUCUUCCAUUUCUGUAUUUGAAGGGGCAGCAAACUAUAGCCCACAGUCCAAGUGUGGCCCACUGCUUGUUUUUUUGUUUUUGUUUUUAAGAUCCUAUGAACAAACAAUAGUGUUCAAAUUUCUUAAUGGUUGACAAUAACCAAAAAGAGAAUAAUAGUUCAUGAUAUGCAAAAAUUACACAAGAUUGAUUUCAGUUUUAUUGGAACACAGCCAAACAUUUAUUUAUGUAUUGUCUCUGGCUGCUUUUAUGGUACUGGUGGCAGAAUAGGGUGGUUGUGACAGAGACCAAAUGGCCUGCAAAGCCUCAAAUAUUUACUAACUGGCCAUUAACAGAAAAACUUUGAAGUUGCUGUAUUGCAGCAGUUGCCAGAUUCCUCACAAUAUCAUCUUUGACGACUUUAAAUGCCCAAUUAACAGCUAUGUCAUGGACCACUAGUGACUAUUAUCAUUCUAUUCUAACAUUGGGAGAUUCUUACUUAUUCCCUGCUGUGACACCCUCACCAAUUCUGGAAAACUCACCUUCUCAGUCAGUUUCAGUUAUAGCUAGAAUUCUGUUAGCAAUUUCUGUUAUUUAUUUUCAAGAAACAGACUUCUGUUGAGCCAGCCAGGCAGUUGGGAUCGUCCAUGGCUGUGUAUGGCCAGCCUUUAAGGUAGACUAAGAUCCCAAAUAAAGAAAAAAUUGUAUUUGAAUAGAAACAAUUAAAAAAUGAAGAAAAUAGCCCUAACUGGUGUGGCUCAGUUGGUUGGGUGCAGGUCCACAAGGCAAAAGGUGUCUGGUUCAAUCCCUGGUCACAGCACAUGCCUGGGUUGUAGGUUCUGUCCCUGGUCCAGGCACAUGUGAGAGGCAACCAGUCAGUGUUUCUCACAUCAGUGUUUUUCUCUGUCCCUUCCCCUCUG
Artibeus jamaicensis (Jamaican fruit-eating bat) is the source of this 3585-nucleotide long non-coding RNA. RefSeq lists it as uncharacterized. NCBI's taxonomy places the organism in Eukaryota, Metazoa, Chordata, Mammalia, Chiroptera, Phyllostomidae. The record is from RefSeq and is a predicted model, not a curated record. The transcript is spliced from 8 exons.